CGUGUCUUCACAAAGUCAAUACAGGUACGAUUAAAAAGUGCUAUUUUCAAGUGAUAAAGGACUAUAAACUACGGUGUAAGCCUGAGCACUACCUGCUCGUUAGAGUUGGAGAUGAACGUAUUCAGAUCUCUCCUGUUGCACCUCCCAGGCUGCAGACAGCAUGUAUUAUGCAGAAUAUUAGCACACAUUUAAAUCUGAGUCUUAGAGAUAUAGAGAAUGAGUUGUAACCUGGCUGUGAACUCUCUGUUGGCAGGAAGAUUAGUGUCAAAAUAAAAUUUGGUUGCUGGUGUGAGUUUAGAUAGAGAAUACCUGCAGAAUAAAGAUUGUUUCAUAGACAAUGAUAGUAAGUAAAAUAAAAUAGAAAACAUAUAUGUGAAAAUGUUUUAUAAUUCUAAUAAAUGACUAUACCUCCAA
Long non-coding RNA from Raphanus sativus (radish), 414 nucleotides. RefSeq lists it as uncharacterized. The record is from RefSeq and is a predicted model, not a curated record. Lineage: Eukaryota; Viridiplantae; Streptophyta; Magnoliopsida; Brassicales; Brassicaceae. The transcript is spliced from 2 exons.